RNAcentral lists this ribosomal RNA (550 nucleotides) under uncultured bacterium. RNAcentral describes it as "bacterial SSU rRNA". It matches the Rfam family "Bacterial small subunit ribosomal RNA", at positions 355 to 896 of the family's 1533-position model. The record is from RNAcentral.
UAGGGANUCUUCCACAAUGGGCGCAAGCCUGAUGGAGCAACACCGCGUGAGUGAAGAAGGGUUUCGGCUCGUAAAGCUCUGUUGUUAAAGAAGAACACGUAUGAGAGUAACUGUUCAUACGUUGACGGUAUUUAACCAGAAAGUCACGGCUAACUACGUGCCAGCAGCCGCGGUAAUACGUAGGUGGCAAGCGUUAUCCGGAUUUAUUGGGCGUAAAGAGAGUGCAGGCGGUUUUCUAAGUCUGAUGUGAAAGCCUUCGGCUUAACCGGAGAAGUGCAUCGGAAACUGGAUAACUUGAGUGCAGAAGAGGGUAGUGGAACUCCAUGUGUAGCGGUGGAAUGCGUAGAUAUAUGGAAGAACACCAGUGGCGAAGGCGGCUACCUGGUCUGCAACUGACGCUGAGACUCGAAAGCAUGGGUAGCGAACAGGAUUAGAUACCCUGGUAGUCCAUGCCGUAAACGAUGAGUGCUAGGUGUUGGAGGGUUUCCGCCCUUCAGUGCCGGAGCUAACGCAUUAAGCACUCCGCCUGGGGAGUACGACCGCAAGGUUG